GAUAUGAAAAGAUUUAGAUAAACAGAAACUCUAGUCUAGAAAGAUUUCUCAAUAAGUUCAACUAGUUAUAAUUUAAAUUUGAGAAAGCAAGUCUAGCCUAAAAUAUGUUUGAAUAAAGAAAUUUAAAUAAAAUCAAAUUUGGCAUACUUGGCAUGCCUUUGAGUCAACCAAGAAAGGAGCUUAGCCGACUAAUUUCUUAGUUCAAGGGAA
This 210-nucleotide long non-coding RNA is filed under the name Elaeis guineensis (African oil palm). RNAcentral describes it as "long non-coding RNA (EGUI_LNC008208)". The record is from RNAcentral. Lineage: Eukaryota; Viridiplantae; Streptophyta; Magnoliopsida; Arecales; Arecaceae.